UAACUGGAGGACUAGUGGUUAGGCCACGGCGCUUUCACCGGCAUGGCCUGGGUUCGAUACCUGGCCAGGGAA
Molecule: non-coding RNA, 72 nt
Organism: Pangasianodon gigas (Mekong giant catfish)
Lineage: Eukaryota; Metazoa; Chordata; Actinopteri; Siluriformes; Pangasiidae
Source: the annotation of a GenBank genome assembly